This is a long non-coding RNA of Clupea harengus (Atlantic herring), 1685 nucleotides long. The record is from Ensembl. NCBI's taxonomy places the organism in Eukaryota, Metazoa, Chordata, Actinopteri, Clupeiformes, Clupeidae.
UGGGAUUAUACUCUGGUCUGGAAACUCUGGGAUUAUACUACAGUCUGGAAACUCUAUUAUUUGCACGAUGGAUCCCUUGGCCAUUCUGAAUCAGCGACCAGUGGGAGUGGCUAAGUGCGAUGAUGUAGAAGUGAAGCGUUUGUUUUGCAAUGUAGUUACUAUGGCGACAGUGUUAGAGCUCAACGAAGCGAUACAAACAGUCGUAGCAAUGCUAGCAAACAUCAACAUUUUGAAGCUGGAGGAAGGUGAAUGUGGAUGUAUUCAUCAAGGGCAAAGACAUUGUUAAUUUACCACCAACAGGGUUUGGGAAAAAGGCUAAUACGUCAGCUUGCAUCGUUAGUGGCGAAGUAGGAAGCAUAGCAAUAUCCUAGUGGUCAAUGCUGAUUGGUUAAAGGCUGGACCCUGAAGUAUGAGCCCAUUAUGAUGCAGUGAGUGUAAACGACCCCCACAGGAGCAAGGCCAGACCCCAUCUAUUCAGAACGCCCGUCUGGGUCUGGGUCUGGGUCUGGGUCUGGGUCUGCCAGACUACCCUCCCUGUGACUGCUACCCGCUCCUCUAUUCCCUGAGUGGGCCGGUCCCAGGGUGCGCAGACGAGAACGUGCGGUUUGGGUGCACCACCUCGGAGCGGGCAGCGGAGGUGUGGAGGGGUCAUUAGGGCUCGUCUAAACAUCAUCAUCAUCACCACCAUCAUCAUCAUAAUCAUCACAAAUUCCAGCGACUUCACGCGAGUAGGUGCAUCUCCUGGUGUUAUUCCCAGCACGCAUCAAAGGAAACUAAUGCAGCAGAAACAAUAGCACAUACCAACCCAUCCUAUUCCUCUUCCUGAUUUUUGGCAGCAUCUGGUAAAUGUAAACAUGUGAGGUGAGUAUCAAGGGCUCCCCAGACUAAAUACCCCUCCUCUAAGUCUGUUACCCCAGUAAGACGGCCAGCUUUGGCAGUAGAGUGCUUGGUUAGUGAUAGUAUGACAUUGAGAGGUUGAUACCAGUUUAAACGGUCUCGACUGUCUACAGGGAGGGAGGGAGAGAGAGAGAGGGAGAGGGAGAGGGAGAGCGAGAGAGAGAGAGAGAGAGAGAGAGAGAGAGAGGGAGGGAUACCAGUGUAAACGGUCUCGACUAGAGAGAGAGAGAGAGAGAGAGAGAGAGAGACCAGUUUAAACGGUCUCGACUGUCUACAGGGACAGAGAGAGAGAGAGAGAGAGAGAGAGAGAGAGAGGGAGAGAGGGAGAGAGAGAGAGAGAGAGAGGGAGAGAUACCAGUUUAAACGGUCUCGACUGUGCAUUUGGAAAUACCAGCUGAUGUCAGCCAAAAACCCUUUGAAUUCCAGAUGGAAUGUGACCCCAUUAACCAAUCUUGUGUAGCCAGAAGUGCACAGUGAGUGUGUGUGUGUGUGUGUGUGUGUGUGUGUGUGUGUGUGUGUGUGUCUGAGCAGGCAAAUGUCAUGUGAGGUCUCUCACACACUUGAGGUUUGAGUGCUGUAACGCUCUAAUAGAAACCCAGAGAAGAGAAACAGAAUCAGUCUAGCACCGGCGGAAUCAGUCUAGCACCGGCGGAAUCAGUCUAGCACCGGCGGAAUCAGUCUAGCACCGGCGGAAUCAGUCUAGCACUGGCAGAAAGAAACAUAUUACCAGGAUAUUUUGAAUAGUACAUUCAUUGUGAUGAGAUUAGAUAGUUAGUGUUUACGUGUUU